AUACGGAGGAUCCGAGCGUUAUCCGGAUUUAUUGGGUUUAAAGGGUGCGUAGGCGGUUGAAUAAGUUAGAGGUGAAGGCUCGAUGCUCAACAUCGAAAUUGCCUCUGAUACUGUUCGACUAGAGUAUAGUUGCGGAAGGCGGAAUGUGUGGUGUAGCGGUGAAAUGCUUAGAUAUCACACAGAACACCGAUUGCGAAGGCAGCUUUCCAAACUAUCACUGACGCUGAGGCACGAAAGCGUGGGGAGC
Molecule: ribosomal RNA, 247 nt
Filed under: uncultured bacterium
Lineage: Bacteria
Description: partial 16S ribosomal RNA
Rfam family: Bacterial small subunit ribosomal RNA
Source: RNAcentral